This 574-nucleotide ribosomal RNA is filed under the name Methylobacterium oryzihabitans. RNAcentral describes it as "Bacterial large subunit ribosomal RNA". It matches the Rfam family "Bacterial large subunit ribosomal RNA", at positions 871 to 1442 of the family's 2925-position model. The record is from Rfam by way of RNAcentral. Lineage: Bacteria; Pseudomonadati; Pseudomonadota; Alphaproteobacteria; Hyphomicrobiales; Methylobacteriaceae.
UAGGUAGCGCCUCAUGUAUCACUGUAGGGGGUAGAGCACUGUUUCGGCUAGGGGGUCAUCCCGACUUACCAAACCGAUGCAAACUCCGAAUACCUACAAGUGCCGAGCAUGGGAGACACACGGCGGGUGCUAACGUCCGUCGUGAAAAGGGAAACAACCCAGACCGUCAGCUAAGGUCCCAAAGUCAUGGUUAAGUGGGAAACGAUGUGGGAAGGCUUAGACAGCUAGGAGGUUGGCUUAGAAGCAGCCACCCUUUAAAGAAAGCGUAAUAGCUCACUAGUCGAGUCGGCCUGCGCGGAAGAUGUAACGGGGCUCAAACCAUGCACCGAAGCUACGGGUAUCACCUUUUGGUGAUGCGGUAGAGGAGCGUUCUGUAAGCCUGUGAAGGUGAGUUGAGAAGCUUGCUGGAGGUAUCAGAAGUGCGAAUGCUGACAUGAGUAAGGACAAUGCGAGUUAAAAACUCGCACGCCGAAAGACCAAGGUUUCCUGCGCAACGUUAAUCGACGCAGGGUUAGUCGGUCCCUAAGGCGAGGCUGAAAAGCGUAGUCGAUGGAAAACAGGUUAAUAUUCCUGU